Hemicordylus capensis (graceful crag lizard) is the source of this 1127-nucleotide long non-coding RNA. RefSeq lists it as uncharacterized. The transcript has 2 exons. Lineage: Eukaryota; Metazoa; Chordata; Lepidosauria; Squamata; Cordylidae. The record is from RefSeq and is a predicted model, not a curated record.
CGAGACGGGCGGGGGUCUCCGCGGGCCUCUUUUGUCUUCGCCGUCGCCCUGAAAUCCCCCACCCGGCGACGAGAUCGGAUCCUGGCGGCGCUGAGCUCCCCUUGCGGCAAAGGUGAUGCAUAUCUGGCUGCGAAUCGGAUUCCUGGAUUUAAUACAUGGCUCCACAAACGAGGAGGGUGGCUCCUUCAAACAACUCAGCCGCCCGCCCCGUUUCCCCCUCCAGAAGAACAAUCUGUGAACCGCGACAUUUAUCGCCGUUCUUCCUCCAGCCGCCGCUGCAGAAGCUUGAGCGGUGACGUCACACAACGCCCGCAAGCGGGGAGACAGUUGAAGUCUCUUUUCCGAUGGCCGUCAGACGAGCUGGAUGCGCCUGCGCCUAAGGAGGCCUGAUUUAAAGGGGCAGCUACCUUUCUUAUCAGAUGAGUUGGAUCUUACCCCUGAUAAAUGUUUUUUUGACCAGUUCGUGUUUAGGGUUGCCAACUAGGGACUUCUAUAGAGUCUAUGUGGCUAUUUGGGGGACCAAAUGACUCCCUCGCCUUCAUUAGGAGGAACAGAGACUAUUUUGGGGACCAAAAGACCUCCCCGGGGUGGUUUUUUUUUUUUUUUUUUUUGCAUUAGGAGGAAUAAGGACUAUUUGGGGACCCAAACAACUUUUUUUGCAUGUGUUUUGUGGUGUCCAAAGUUCUGGGGAGCAGCUGGAACAUUUUGCUUGCUCAGAACACUUUGCUACCAUGAGUAGCUUCUCUUCCUCCUGCUCCUUUCCCUUCCUACUGACCAUCCAUCCAAUGGAACGUAGGAAGCUGCCAUAUACUGAGUCAGACCAUGGUCUAUCCCCUUAGGGGAUGGAGCCGCUCUGGGAAGAGCAGAAGGUUUCAAGUUCCCUCCCCGGCUUCUCCAAGAUAGGGCUGAGAGAGAUUCCAGCCUGCAACCUUGGAGAAACCACUGCCAGUCUGGGAAGACAAUGCUGAGCUAAAUGGACCAAUGGUCUGACUCAGUAUGUGGCAGCUUCCUAUGUUCCUAAAUAGGCCAUACAGCCGCUUGAACACAUUGCUUUGUUUUCAUUUGCAAUUACCUAUUUUUCUUAUUUUAGACACUUGGCACACUUAAAAUAAACCGACUGAGCAAAA